This is a long non-coding RNA of Stomoxys calcitrans (stable fly), 570 nucleotides long. RefSeq lists it as uncharacterized. The transcript is spliced from 2 exons. Lineage: Eukaryota; Metazoa; Arthropoda; Insecta; Diptera; Muscidae. The record is from RefSeq and is a predicted model, not a curated record.
UUAAAAUCCAUGGGAGACGGAGUAUAUUUGGGAAAGUACGAUCUAUCGACAAUCAAAUUGGAAAUAUUGUAGAGAACAUUCUAGAAAAACAAAAAAAAAAAAAUGAACAUUUGAAUCUGAAAUGUUAUGGAGAAAAAUUAAAAAAAAAACAUCUUACCGCCUUCACUGGACAUUUGCGGGGAAAAUUGCUGCUUUGAAGGACAUUAUUGUAAAGUUUUCUAAUAAGAGGAAUUUUAGAUAUUUCCCAUGAGUUCUGAUGGUCACUUUAACAUGGACAUCGAAUUCUGUACCCAACUGUUGAUUGAGCAUUACCAAACCACUGCCGGAAAAUUGAUUUGGUCCCAAUUGGCUAUAGGAACAUUCAAGUCGUUUUAUCACUUGAGGUAUAAUUGGUUUACAGAUUAACUGGGGAAAACUUAAAAUGAAAUUCCAAUUUGCGGCGGUCUAUAAGAGUAAAUUUACACAUGAUCACGUGAAAAAAACCUUUAAUUAAUUAACUUACCUCAGUUGUAUUUAAACAAUACCAGAUUAUAAGAAAGAAUAGACCAUUUUGCAACAUGUUUUAUAGAA